GACUGAAUUACCUAAGGAUUCAUUUGAAGGCCUGCUAUACCUCCAGUAUUUAGAUUUAUCCUGCAAUAAAAUACGAUAUAUUGAAAGACAAACAUUUGAAUCACUACCAUUUUUGCAGUAUAUAAAUCUGGGCUGCAAUUUAAUUACAAAACUGAGCCUUGGAACAUUUCAGGCCUGGCACGGAAUGCAGUUUUUACACAACUUAAUUCUCAAUCGCAAUCCUCUGACUACUGUCGAAGAUCCAUAUCUCUUUGAACUGCCGGCAUUAAAAUAUCUAGACAUGGGAACAACACACAUCACACUUACAACACUUAAGAACAUUCUCACGAUAACUGUUGAACUGGAAAAACUGAUCUUACCUAGCCAUAUGGUCUGCUGCCUCUGCCAAUUUAAAAAUAGCAUUGAGGCUGUCUCCAAGACAGUCAAGCUGCAUUGCAACACUGCAUGUCUGACUAACAGCAUACAUUGUCCUGAAGAAGCAUCUGUAGGCAAUCCAGAAGGAGCGUUCAUGAAGAUGUUACAAGCCCGGAAGCAGCACAUGAGCACUGAGCUGACUAUUGAGUCGGAGGCGCCCUCAGACAGCAGUGGCAUCAACUUGUCAGGCUUUGGGAGUGAGUAGCUAGACACCAAUGACGAGAGUGAUGUUAGCAGUGCACUAAGUUACAUCUUGCCUUAUCUCUCACUGGGAAAUCUAGGUGCAGAAUCAAUGUUGUUACCGUUCACUGAACAGC
Molecule: small RNA, 731 nt
Filed under: Pan troglodytes (chimpanzee)
Lineage: Eukaryota; Metazoa; Chordata; Mammalia; Primates; Hominidae
Description: retained intron
Source: RNAcentral